AAUUCCACGUGUAGCGGUGAAAUGCGUAGAGAUGUGGAGGAACACCAGUGGCGAAGGCGACUCUCUGGUCUGUAACUGACGCUGAGGAGCGAGAGCGUGGGGAGCGAACAGGAUUAGAUACCCUGGUAGUCCACGCCGUAAACGAUGAGUGCUAAGUGUUAGGGGGUUUCCGCCCCUUAGUGCUGCAGCUAACGCAUUAAGCACUCCGCCUGGGGAGUACGGUCGCAAGACUGAAACUCAAAGGAAUUGACGGGGGCCCGCACCAGCGGUGGAGCAUGUGGUUUAAUUUGAAGCAACGCGAAGAACCUUACCAGGUCUUGACAUCCUUUGACAACCCUAGAGAUAGGGCUUUCCCUUCGGGGACAGAGUGACAGGUGGUGCAUGGUUGUUGUCAGCUCGUGUCGUGAGAUGUUGGGUUAAGUCCCGCAACGAGCGCAACCCUUGAUUUUAGUUGCCAGCAUUCAGUUGGGCACUUUAAGGUGACUGCCGGUGACAAACCGGAGGAAGGUGGGGAUGACGUCAAAUCAUCAUGCCCCUUAUGACCUGGGCUACACACGUGCUACAAUGGACAGAACAAAGGGCUGCGAGACCGCAAGGUUUAGCCAAUCCCACAAAUCUGUUCUCAGUUCGGAUCGCAGUCUGCAACUCGACUGCGUGAAGCUGGAAUCGCUAGUAAUCGCGGAUCAGCAUGCCGCGGUGAAUACGUUCCCGGGCCUUGUACACACCGCCCGUCACACCACGAGAGUUUGCAACACCCGAAGUCGGU
This 766-nucleotide ribosomal RNA is filed under the name Bacillus sp. (in: firmicutes). Its description in RNAcentral is "bacterial SSU rRNA". It matches the Rfam family "Bacterial small subunit ribosomal RNA", at positions 665 to 1431 of the family's 1533-position model. The record is from RNAcentral. Lineage: Bacteria; Bacillati; Bacillota; Bacilli; Caryophanales; Bacillaceae.